UCCCUGGAGGACUAGUGGUUAGGCCACGGUGCUCUCAGAUGAAGUGCUGAGGCCCGGGUUCAGUUCCCGGCCAGAGAG
Pangasius djambal is the source of this 78-nucleotide non-coding RNA. Lineage: Eukaryota; Metazoa; Chordata; Actinopteri; Siluriformes; Pangasiidae. The record is from the annotation of a GenBank genome assembly.